RNAcentral lists this ribosomal RNA (429 nucleotides) under Bacteroidota bacterium. Its description in RNAcentral is "Bacteroidetes bacterium partial 16S ribosomal RNA". It matches the Rfam family "Bacterial small subunit ribosomal RNA", at positions 355 to 776 of the family's 1533-position model. The record is from RNAcentral. Lineage: Bacteria; Pseudomonadati; Bacteroidota.
UAGGGAAUCUUCCGCAAUGGACGCAAGUCUGACGGAGCAACGCCGCGUGAGUGAAGAAGGAUCUCGGUUCGUAAAACUCUGUUGUUAGAGAAGAACAGCGCAUAGAGUAACUGUUAUGCGUGUGACGGUAUCUAACCAGAAAGCCACGGCUAACUACGUGCCAGCAGCCACGGUAAUACGUAGGUGGCAAGCGUUGUCCGGAUUUAUUGGGCGUAAAGCGAGCGCAGGCGGUCAAUUAAGUCUGAUGUGAAAGCCCCCGGCUCAACCGGGGAGGGUCAUUGGAAACUGGUUGACUUGAGUGCAGAAGAGGAGAGUGGAAUUCCAUGUGUAGCGGUGAAAUGCGUAGAUAUAUGGAGGAACACCAGUGGCGAAGGCGACUCUCUGGUCUGUAACUGACGCUGAGGCUCGAAAGCGUGGGUAGCAAACAGG